This 396-nucleotide ribosomal RNA is filed under the name uncultured bacterium. Its description in RNAcentral is "bacterial SSU rRNA". It matches the Rfam family "Bacterial small subunit ribosomal RNA", at positions 362 to 775 of the family's 1533-position model. The record is from RNAcentral.
UAUUGCACAAUGGGCGAAAGCCUGAUGCAGCGACGCCGCGUGAGUGAAGAAGUAUCUCGGUAUGUAAAGCACUAUCAGUAGGGAAGAAAAUGACGGUACCUGACUAAGAAGCCCCGGCUAACUACGUGCCUGACGCCGCGGUAAUACGUAGGGGGCAAGCGUUAUCCGGAUUUACUGGGUGUAAAGGGAGCGUAGACGGCGACGGAAGUCUGGAGUGAAAGCCCGGGGCCCAACCCCGGGACUGCUUUGGAAACUGUGCUGCUGGAGUGCAGGAGAGGUAAGUGGAAUUCCUAGUGUAGCGGUGAAAUGCGUAGAUAUUAGGAGGAACACCAGUGGCGAAGGCGGCUUACUGGACUGUAACUGACGCUGAGGUUCGAAAGCGUGGGUAGCAAACAG